GAUCAUGGCUCAGGAUGAACGCUGGCGGCGUGCCUAACACAUGCAAGUCGAACGGAGUAAUUAAGCGGAAGUUUCGGAUGGAAGCAUAGUACUAGUGGCGGACGGGUGAGUAACGCGUGGGCAACCUGCCCUGUACCGGGGGAUAACACUUAGAAAUAGGUGCUAAUACCGCAUAAGCGCACAGCUUCGCAUGAAGGUGUGUGAAAAACUCCGGUGGUACAGGAUGGACCCGCGUCUGAUUAGCUAGUUGGUGGGGUAGAGGCCUACCAAGGCGACGAUCAGUAGCCGGCCUGAGAGGGUGACCGGCCACAUUGGGACUGAGACACGGCCCAAACUCCUACGGGAGGCAGCAGUGGGGAAUAUUGCACAAUGGGGGAAACCCUGAUGCAAGCGACGCCGCGUGAGUGAAGAAGUAUUUCGGUAUGUAAAGCUCUAUCAGCAGGGAAGAAAAUGACGGUACCUGACUAAGAAGCCCCGGCUAACUACGUGCCAGCCGCUGC
RNAcentral lists this ribosomal RNA (500 nucleotides) under uncultured bacterium. Its description in RNAcentral is "bacterial SSU rRNA". It matches the Rfam family "Bacterial small subunit ribosomal RNA", at positions 15 to 518 of the family's 1533-position model. The record is from RNAcentral.